Molecule: ribosomal RNA, 479 nt
Filed under: uncultured Archaeospora
Lineage: Eukaryota; Fungi; Glomeromycota; Glomeromycetes; Archaeosporales; Archaeosporaceae
Description: SSU rRNA
Rfam family: Eukaryotic small subunit ribosomal RNA
Source: RNAcentral
AGCAGCCGCGGUAAUUCCAGCUCCAAUAGCGUAUAUUAAAGUUGUUGCAGUUAAAAAGCUCGUAGUUGAAUUUUAGGCCUGGCCAGGCGGUCCGUCUUUGGCGAGUACUGUCUUGUUGUCGGGUCUUCCUUCUGGUGAACCAGUAUGUCCUUUAUUGGGUGUGUUGGGGAGCCAGGACCAUUACCUUGAAAAAUUAGAGUGUUUAAAGCGGGCUAUUGCUUGAAUAGAUUAGCAUGGAAUAAUAGAAUAGGACGUUGUGGUUCUAUUUUGUUGGUUUCUAGGACCACCGUAAUGAUUAAUAGGGAUAGUUGGGGGCAUUAGUAUUCAAUUGUCAGAGGUGAAAUUCUUGGAUUUAUUGAAGACUAACUAUUGCGAAAGCAUUUGCCAAGGAUGUUUUCAUUAAUCAAGAACGAAAGUUAGGGGAUCGAAGACGAUCAGAUACCGUCGUAGUCUUGACCGUAAACUAUGCCGACUAGGAA